Long non-coding RNA from Vespula vulgaris, 997 nucleotides. RefSeq lists it as uncharacterized. The record is from RefSeq and is a predicted model, not a curated record. Lineage: Eukaryota; Metazoa; Arthropoda; Insecta; Hymenoptera; Vespidae. The transcript has 2 exons.
ACAACGAGCUAAUAACAAUACCGCGGCAAAUCACUUCUCGCUGAUUGGGUAACGCUCCUUAUUUAACCGGUCGCACACGCCGUCUCAGCGAUUAUUGUUAGUUAGAUUUUUCACUGUACUUAAUCAUCAGGUUGUUGCUUAGAUUAUUUUGCUAUAUUAAUUGUUGCGAUUAUUGCUCAGGUUAUUGCUUAGUUAUUAUUCUGAUAUACGAUUCAUUCGAUUCAGUCUUUGUUACUAUUAUCUUGAACCGAUCAUCAUCCUUGUUCAGUUACAUCUAUUAUUAUUGUUUUAAAUAAAUUAAGCAUUAUUAAACAGCCUAAGUCAAUAAUACCGGUUGUGUCUACGGAAGCGACUCACUCCCAAUUCUUAUUGAGGCGAAUCUCAAUUCUACUUCUAUUUAGAAAUCGCUUAAACGCGAUCGAAGAAUUCGUUCUCUGCAGCAUAGUCAACAAAUUUUUUUCUGAGACUUUACCGCCAAUCAAUUCUACUUUCUCUGGAACCUAGCCAAUCGUGUCGAUAAGAAAAUCGGCCUAUCCGGCAAUAAAUAUCCAUAAUCCACCAAUAAAAGAGAUGGAUUCAUCGUUAAGUCCCCAUCAGCCAAUCCUCAUCACCGAAACAGAGGUAAACUGCAGCAUUUCAUCAAAUUCAUCGAAAGUAAAGAUAGGUGUCAUUUGAUUGACUUGCGCAUAUUGGAUGGCAUACCGUUAAGUGUCAGUCCCGUGCCAUAGAACUGCACACAACAGAUAAGGGCAAAAAAGGGUGUAUAAUCUUAAGACACAGGAACUCCUUAAAAGGAAUUUAAUUUCCUCGAGUCACUGGAAUGAAAUUGGCAUCAUUGAAAAAAAGCCGCUAAUUUAUGAGCAGUCGAUAAUGAAAACAUCAAAGACGAAUUAGCAGUGACUACAGCCUAAGAGAGUAAUACUGAGAUCGUUACGAUGUGCUAAAAACAAAAAACGAGAAUUAUGUCUUUUUCAUUAAAAUUCCUUUGUGAAUCUUU